AUUGAACGCUGGCGGCAUGCUUUACACAUGCAAGUCGGACGAGUGGCGAACGGGUGAGUAACGCAUCGGAACGUACCGAGCAAAGGGGGAUAACUGUCCGAAAGGACAGCUAAUACCGCAUAUUAUUCGAGCGGCCGAUGGGUGAUUAGCUGGUUGGCGGGGUAAAGGCCCACCAAGGCGACGAUCAGUAGCGGGUCUGAGAGGUUGAUCCGCCACACUGGGACUGAGACACGGCCCAGACUCCUACGGGAGGAAGCAGUGGGGAAUUUUGGACAAUGGGCGCAAGCCUGAUCCAGCCAUGCCGCGUGACUGAAGAAGGCCUUCGGUUUGUAAAGGUCUUUUGUCAGAGAAGCGGUACCUGAAGAAUAAGCACCGGCUAACUACGUGCCAGCAGCCGCUGUAAUUC
Molecule: ribosomal RNA, 406 nt
Filed under: uncultured bacterium
Lineage: Bacteria
Description: partial 16S ribosomal RNA
Rfam family: Bacterial small subunit ribosomal RNA
Source: RNAcentral